UGGGGAAUUUUUGGCAAUGGGGGCAACCCUGACCAAGCAACGCCGCGUGGGUGAUGAAGUCUCUUGGGACGUAAAACCCUUUCGACAGGGAAGAAACCGCAAGGUUGACGGUACCUGUASAAGAAGCCCCGGCUAACUCCGUG
Molecule: ribosomal RNA, 143 nt
Filed under: uncultured bacterium
Lineage: Bacteria
Description: partial 16S ribosomal RNA
Rfam family: Bacterial small subunit ribosomal RNA
Source: RNAcentral